UACGUAGGGUGCGAGCGUUGUCCGGAAUUAUUGGGCGUAAAGAGCUCGUAGGCGGUCUGUCGCGUCGAUCGUGAAAACUUGGGGCUUAACCCUGAGCUUGCGGUCGAUACGGGCAUGACUGGAGUUCGGCAGGGGAGACUGGAAUUCCUGGUGUAGCGGUGAAAUGCGCAGAUAUCAGGAGGAACACCGGUGGCGAAGGCGGGUCUCUGGGCCGAUACUGACGCUGAGGAGCGAAAGCCAGGGGAGCGAACGGG
This 254-nucleotide ribosomal RNA is filed under the name uncultured bacterium. Its description in RNAcentral is "partial 16S ribosomal RNA". It matches the Rfam family "Bacterial small subunit ribosomal RNA", at positions 524 to 776 of the family's 1533-position model. The record is from RNAcentral.